Molecule: long non-coding RNA, 262 nt
Filed under: Gossypium barbadense (sea-island cotton)
Lineage: Eukaryota; Viridiplantae; Streptophyta; Magnoliopsida; Malvales; Malvaceae
Description: long non-coding RNA (GBAR_LNC000382)
Source: RNAcentral
CCCAAAAUGAAACCUCUUGAAAUGGUUCUUCUUAGUUAGAACCAUCUCAGACGCAUACUUACUAAGGCGCACAAACUUUGCCUCAUAGUCAUCCAUAGACAAACCACCUUGCACAAGGUCCAUAAAUUCCCGUUUACGAGCUUCCAUAUACUGCUCGCCGAUAAACUUUCUCCUAAACACAUCUAAGAAAUAAUCUUAAGUUAAACGAUCAGUGGUUGUACCUCUCCUAAUUGUAUUCCACCAAUGAUGCGCCUUUCCAUCG